RNAcentral lists this transfer RNA (64 nucleotides) under Oryctes nasicornis. Its description in RNAcentral is "tRNA-Phe". The record is from RNAcentral. Lineage: Eukaryota; Metazoa; Arthropoda; Insecta; Coleoptera; Scarabaeidae.
AUUUAAAUAGCUUAUAUAGAGCAAGAUAUUGAAGAUAUCUAGGAAGUGUUAACACUUUUAAAUA